This 497-nucleotide ribosomal RNA is filed under the name uncultured bacterium. Its description in RNAcentral is "partial 16S ribosomal RNA". It matches the Rfam family "Bacterial small subunit ribosomal RNA", at positions 28 to 507 of the family's 1533-position model. The record is from RNAcentral.
GAUGAACGCUGGCGGCGUGCCUAAUACAUGCAAGUCGAGCGAACGGACCAGAAGCUUGCUUCUCUGAUGUUAGCGGCGGACGGGUGAGUAACACGUGGAUAACCUACCUAUAAGACUGGGAUAACUUCGGGAAACCGGAGCUAAUACCGGAUAAUAUUUUGAACCGCAUGGUUCAAAAGUUAAAGACGGUCUUGCUGUCACUUAUAGAUGGAUCCGCGCUGCAUUAGCUAGUUGGUAAGGUAACGGCUUACCAAGGCAACGAUGCAUAGCCGACCUGAGAGGGUGAUCGGCCACACUGGAACUGAGACACGGUCCAGACUCCUACGGGAGGCAGCAGUAGGGAAUCUUCCGCAAUGGGCGAAAGCCUGACGGAGCAACGCCGCGUGAGUGAUGAAGGUCUUCGGAUCGUAAAACUCUGUUAUUAGGGAAGAACAUAUGUGUAAGUAACUGUGCACAUCUUGACGGUACCUAAUCAGAAAGCCACGGCUAACUACGUG